Molecule: ribosomal RNA, 496 nt
Filed under: uncultured bacterium
Lineage: Bacteria
Description: partial 16S ribosomal RNA
Rfam family: Bacterial small subunit ribosomal RNA
Source: RNAcentral
GAUGAACGCUGGCGGCGUGCCUAAUACAUGCAAGUCGAGCGAACAGACGAGGAGCUUGCUCCUCUGACGUUAGCGGCGGACGGGUGAGUAACACGUGGAUAACCUACCUAUAAGACUGGGAUAACUUCGGGAAACCGGAGCUAAUACCGGAUAAUAUAUUGAACCGCAUGGUUCAAUAGUGAAAGACGGUUUUGCUGUCACUUAUAGAUGGAUCCGCGCCGCAUUAGCUAGUUGGUAAGGUAACGGCUUACCAAGGCAACGAUGCGUAGCCGACCUGAGAGGGUGAUCGGCCACACUUGAACUGAGACACGGUCCAGACUCCGACGGGAGGCAACAGUAGGGAAUCUUCCGCAAUGGGCGAAAGCUUGACGGAGCAACGCCGCGUGAGUGAUGAAGGUCUUCGGAUCGUAAAACUCUGUUAUUAGGGAAGAACAAAUGUGUAAGUAACUAUGCACGUCUUGACGGUACCUAAUCAGAAAGCCACGGCUAACUACGU